UUGGAUAGGUUUCAAAAGAGGCGUGAGAAGAUGGGUGACAAUAGCUAUGACCUUCUAGUCAUUGAGGAUUUUGAUUGGGGCAAUGAGUGGGUUGACCCAACAAUAUCUCCACCCCAAGGUGCUCGAGGGUGUCCCGAUGACAUUUCAUGGGAGCUUGUUGAUGAGGCUGUUGGUGCAAGUUCGUCGCUGCAAGGUCGCAACUUUCCUAGAGCUAGCACCAUGGCAAGGGGGGCCUCAAAUGUUAAUGUCCAGUACCAAAGGCAGCGCAAAAGGGCUGCUCCGUCACCAACAUUUCUUCAUGAAGAUGACGAAGAGGAUGACCAAGAACAACAAUCAAGUAUCCCCAAUGGAGAGGAUGAUGAUUCAGACUUUCUUCAAGAUGAUGUUGAUGUGACCGAUGAUGAUGAAGAUCCAACUAGUGCUGACCAAGAUGGCGAAGACAACACAAAUGCUACCAUGGAUGAGUUCGAUGAUGGCUAUUGA
This 483-nucleotide ribosomal RNA is filed under the name Triticum aestivum (bread wheat). RNAcentral describes it as "partial small subunit ribosomal RNA". The record is from RNAcentral. Lineage: Eukaryota; Viridiplantae; Streptophyta; Magnoliopsida; Poales; Poaceae.